UUUGAAAAUUUAAAUUUAUUAAUAUUUGAUUUUUUUAAAAAAUUAAUAAAAAUAAUUUUAAAUAUAUAUAUAUUUUAGUAAGUUUUAUUGAAAAAAUUUAAUUAAUUAUAGUUUAAUUGUAUUGUAAAAGAUAAUUGAAAUAAUAAUUAUUUAUUUAAAAGUAAAAUUAAUUUUUUGUACCUUGUGUAUCAGGGUUUAUUAAAUAAAUAUUAUAUAUUAUAAUUUUCUCGAAUUUAAGAGAGAUAAUAAAUUAUUUUUUUUAUUGUAAUAAAAAUAUUUAUAAUAAUUUAUUAGUAAUGAAAUGUUAUUCGUUCUUAAAAAUAUCUAGUUUAUUUAGAAAUGAAUUUAAUUCAGAUAUUUAGAUAUUAAAUUUAAUUUUUGUUUUAUUUUUAAUAAUUAAAUAUUAAUAAUUUAAGGGAUUAGCUUUAAAUUAAAAAUUUAAAAAUUAAAAUUUUAUUAUAAAUUGUAAGUUUAGAAAUAGCUAUCAGUAAUAAUUUGUUAUAAUUAAUUUAAUUUAAUUAAUAUUAUUUUAUAUAAUUUUAAAUUAUUUAUAAAUAAGUAAAUUUUAAUUAUAAAAAUUUAGUUAUAAUGAUAAAAUUAGUAUAUUAAUUAUAUUUAUUUAAUAAAUAUAUUAUUUUAAAAGAUUAUUUAAAGGAAUUCGGCAAAUAAUUUACUCGCCUGUUUAACAAAAACAUGUCCUUUUGAUAUAUAUAUAAGGUCUAACCUGCCCACUGAAUUAAUUUAAAUGGCCGCAGUAUUUUAACUGUGCAAAGGUAGCAUAAUCAUUAGUUUUUUAAUUGAAAGCUUGUAUGAAAGGUUGGACGAGGUAAAAUCUGUCUCUAUUUAAUUUAAAAUAGAAUUUAAUUUUUAAGUUAAAAAGCUUAAAUUUUUGUAAAAGACGAGAAGACCCUAUAGAUCUUUAUAUUUAUUUAUUUAUAUUUAAUUAAGAUUUUUUUAGUUUUUAUUUAAAUAAAUAUUUUAUUGGGGUAAUAAGAAGAUUUAAUAAAUUCUUUUUUAAAUAAACCAUUGAUUUAUGAAUAGAUGAUCCAAUUUUAUUGAUUAUAAGUUUAAGUUACCUUAGGGAUAACAGCGUAAUUUUUUUUGAGAGUUCAUAUCGAUAAAAAAGUUUGCGACCUCGAUGUUGGAUUAAAGAUUAUUUUAGGUGUAGAAGUUUAAAAUUUUGGUCUGUUCGACCAUUAAAUCUUUACAUGAUCUGAGUUCAGACCGGUGUAAGCCAGGUCGGUUUCUAUCUUUAUAGAAUUAAAAUAUUUUAGUACGAAAGGACCAAAUAUUUGAUAUAGUUAUAUUUUAUUUAUUGAAUAUUAGUGUUACUUUGACAGAAUAAUGUAUUGAAUUUAGAAUUCAUU
This 1367-nucleotide ribosomal RNA is filed under the name Broscus cephalotes. Its description in RNAcentral is "16S ribosomal RNA". The stretch from base 1083 to 1241 matches the Rfam family "Archaeal large subunit ribosomal RNA", at positions 2544 to 2703 of the family's 2987-position model. Lineage: Eukaryota; Metazoa; Arthropoda; Insecta; Coleoptera; Carabidae. The record is from RNAcentral.